CGGCCGAACACCUGGCGCCCUUGCUGCUCCUACUCCUCCUGGCACGGACGGGGCGGGGGUUGGCGUCACCGUCUUUCCUUCAGCCCUGGUGGCGCAGCAGACUAAAGCACUGUUAUUAACAUCAGCUGCCUGCAAUUACUGCAAGUUCAAAUCUCACCAGGCUCAAGGUUGACUCAGCCUUCCAUCCUUUCUAAGCUCAUGGAUCAGAGAUGUGACACAGAGUACACAUACUGUCAUUGUCUGCAGCCCUCCAUUCUGCAUCAUGGAUGGAAAUAAUUUUUCACUCCCAAUCUUUUAUCUUUCCUAUUUCUUGAUGAUUCUCCUUUGAAGGAUAAUAUUUGGUUGGUCCCAGGAGAUAGGCCUUCUCUGCCAUGAGAAUAAAUAUUACUGAAUAUGUUUUG
This is a non-coding RNA of Pantherophis guttatus, 401 nucleotides long. NCBI's taxonomy places the organism in Eukaryota, Metazoa, Chordata, Lepidosauria, Squamata, Colubridae. The record is from RefSeq and is a predicted model, not a curated record.